AUUCAACAAUGGAGUUGUAAAUGUUUCUAUAUAGUGUUUUAGUACCUUCUGAUUUUCUUGCUGAUUCAACUGCUCACAUUAUUAAUAUGUGCGUUUCUUAAGACAAAUGUUGAUGAUAGUUGAUCCCUUUUUAAAUUGUCGUAAUUUUACUUCGAACUUUACCUGAGAGUAUAAACCGUUCUCUAUAUUUUAUUAACCUUCAUAGGGCAGAAUAUUGGAAAUCUCAGCCGAAGAAGUUUUGCGAUUUCUGUAAAUGUUGGAUAGCAGAUAAUAAAGCGGUAAGAUAAAGAAUAUUAUAAAUUCAGGUCUCGAAAUAGAAAAAAAAGGCCUGACAAGCUAUUUUCUUGUUGGCAGGUCAAAUAAAUUAUCAAAUAUGGUCUGCAAAUUAUUUCUAUUUUGAACUGCCAAAAUGGCCCACUCUGCUAUGAAAGAAAUAGAUGUUAAUUUUCUUCACUGACUUAAACUGUCCUUUUUAACUCUGGUGUUAACACUUUAUCUCCUUUAUGUUAUGAAACAUUAAAUUUGCCACCCAGAUUUUAAUUGGACAAGUGACUAUAUUGUCAAUUGAAACAUAUGGAUUCAAUGUCCGGAUGAAUAUGCCAUUAUGAACGUACAUUUUCCAAUCUUGAGUGCUCAUUUUAUUACACCAGAGAUUCCAACUACUGGAGGUAAAAUUUAGGGGGGCUGUUCAAUGAAUUGAAAUCUAGUUCUUCUGGGAAAAAAAUAAAAACUAAGUCUUCUGAAAAUACUGAAAUGGCAUUUCCUGCAUUUUGGGAGUAUGUUGUUAUAUGUGAUCCUAUAAAUUGCCAUAAAGUAACUUCAUAAAAAGGUCAAGACAAGGUAUUUAUAUGGUGCUAAAAACAGUAUAUUUAUGAUUUUUUACGAUAUUUCCUGAAUAUUUUGAAAAAUCGGGGGAAUUUCAUAACAAUCGGGAGACCAGGAGAUUGCAUGAAUUUUCAGGAGACUCCCGGUAAAAUCAGGAGAGUUGGACUGUCUAUUACACCCUUUACUCCUUUAUUACACCCUUUACCAAAAUCCUUCAACAUUUGUUCAAAUAUCGAGUGAGAUGCAAAAAAUCCUGGUCUUUACAAAUAAAAUUUCAGCCAAGCUAGUCUUCAGAUCAAUUUUAUUUUACAAUUAUUAGGGGCAUGCACAUUAUGCUAAGAAAUUUGCCCAUUAUUCUAUUUUUUAAUUCUCUUGACUUUAUCCUAUUAUUCUUUAAAUUUUCCCCUAUUAUUCCCAAAAUUAUUCUACAUCAAGUCGAAUCAAGACCAGAACAAAAUAAGAAUUUUAUUUCUGUAAGGGAUGUGGGACUGUAAAUUUCGUCAGAUUGUCAAUUUCAUGUGAAUUUUGCAUGAUGGUUCCAGUAAUGAAAAAUAAAUAAUGCAUAACACCAUAGUCCAAAAAUUCUGCGUACAUAAUGUAUUUAGAGACGUACAGUACACAUGUGCAAUGUCAUGCCGCGGACGGAUGGCGCAUAUGCUAAUGACGUAAUUUACUUUGCCACAAUGACGUCAUACUGAAAUGUUUGCCUAUUAUUCUUGCUUUUGCCCAUUAUUCUUGGUUUCAAAAAAAUCCCCUAUUAUUCUAAAAUAAAUUGUGUCAUACUGUGUGUAUCCCUAACAAUUACAGAAUGAGGUUGAGCAUGAUAUAAAGAAUUAUCAAUCCCAAAUACAUUAAUAUAUUUUUAAGUGUAAGAAAUGAAUGUCUAGAAAUUAAAUCUAUGUCUAAUAGAUUAAUUGCUGAAGAAAUUUGCUGUCCACCAUAUGACCAUAAAACAUGGGCUAUUAGUAAAAUACGGAACACACAGAGCACGGAGCACACAGAGUAUGGAGC
Paramuricea clavata is the source of this 1836-nucleotide non-coding RNA. The record is from the annotation of a GenBank genome assembly. Lineage: Eukaryota; Metazoa; Cnidaria; Anthozoa; Malacalcyonacea; Plexauridae.